GACGAACCGUCCAAACGUUAUUCGGAAUCACUGGGCUUAAAGGGUGCGUAGGCGGCCGUUCAAGUCGGGUGUGAAAUCCCUCAGCUCAACUGAGGAACUGCGCCCGAUACUGUUCAGCUUGAGGAAGGCAGAGGUGAGCGGAACUUGCGGUGGAGCGGUGAAAUGCGUUGAUAUCGCAAGGAACACCAGUAGCGAAGGCGGCUCACUGGGCCUUUUCUGACGCUGAGGCACGAAAGCUAGGGUAG
This 245-nucleotide ribosomal RNA is filed under the name uncultured Thermogutta sp. Its description in RNAcentral is "partial 16S ribosomal RNA". It matches the Rfam family "Bacterial small subunit ribosomal RNA", at positions 524 to 768 of the family's 1533-position model. Lineage: Bacteria; Pseudomonadati; Planctomycetota; Planctomycetia; Pirellulales; Thermoguttaceae. The record is from RNAcentral.